UACAGAGGGUGCAAGCGUUAAUCGGAAUUACUGGGCGUAAAGCGCGCGUAGGUGGUUCGUUAAGUUGGAUGUGAAAUCCCCGGGCUCAACCUGGGAACUGCAUCCAAAACUGGCGAGCUAGAGUAGGGCAGAGGGUGGUGGAAUUUCCUGUGUAGCGGUGAAAUGCGUAGAUAUCAGGAGGAACACCGGUGGCGAAGGCGGGUCUCUGGGCCGAUACUGACGCUGAGGAGCGAAAGCGUGGGGAGCGAACAGG
This 253-nucleotide ribosomal RNA is filed under the name uncultured prokaryote. Its description in RNAcentral is "partial 16S ribosomal RNA". It matches the Rfam family "Bacterial small subunit ribosomal RNA", at positions 524 to 776 of the family's 1533-position model. The record is from RNAcentral.